Long non-coding RNA from Capsicum annuum, 502 nucleotides. RefSeq lists it as uncharacterized. NCBI's taxonomy places the organism in Eukaryota, Viridiplantae, Streptophyta, Magnoliopsida, Solanales, Solanaceae. The transcript is spliced from 3 exons. The record is from RefSeq and is a predicted model, not a curated record.
AUUUUGAAGGAAUGUGUGAUAUUAUAAUAAUGCCCGAUUCGAGUUCGGAGGAAUGUGUGAUAUUAUGAUGAUGCUUGAUGAAUUUGGAGAAAUAUGUGAUACUAUGAUAAUGCCUGGUUUGAGUCCAGAGGAAUGUGUGAUAUUAUGAUGUUGCCCGAUGAAUCCAGAGGAAUAUGUUGAUAUUUUGAUGACGUCCGACGAAUCCAGAAGAGGUGGUAUGGAACGCCGUGAUGAGUUCUUUUUUGUGCUCUCUUUCAUGUACUUUCCGGCUGUAUGGGACGUCGUGACCCAGGUUCUAAUUGCUGCCGUUGAGCUAGUUUGUGCGAGUUGACUAUUCGGAGAUAGGGUGAGCUCUUGGAGAUCGAGUUACUCUCUUUCCUCUCUAUCCUUAUUUGUCUUUUUCUUUCAAGACAAAUGUAUGAGAUUAUUUAAGAUAUUUUAGAUUCUGGGAUUGUAAAUUCCUCUUGUCAAGUUUAUAAGCUUUUGUAUUAAUACUAUCAGG